RNAcentral lists this ribosomal RNA (253 nucleotides) under uncultured bacterium. Its description in RNAcentral is "partial 16S ribosomal RNA". It matches the Rfam family "Bacterial small subunit ribosomal RNA", at positions 524 to 776 of the family's 1533-position model. The record is from RNAcentral.
UACGUAGGGUGCAAGCGUUGUCCGGAAUUAUUGGGCGUAAAGCGCACGUAGGCGGCUUUGCAAGUCAGAGGUGAAAGCCCGGGGCUCAACCCCGGAAUUGCCUUUGAGACUGCAUCGCUAGAAUUGUGGAGAGGUAAGUGGAAUUCCGAGUGUAGAGGUGAAAUUCGUAGAUAUUCGGAAGAACACCAGUGGCGAAGGCGACUUACUGGACACAUAUUGACGCUGAGGUGCGAAAGCGUGGGGAGCAAACAGG